GGGCAAGGAAAUAGUCUUUAGUGGAAACCACGGUGGCGAGCUGACAGCUGCAUUGCUAAGCGAUGGUACAGAAUAACUGUGAGACAGAGAGCUACAGUGUGGAGAAAUUUGCUGGAAAGCACUCACUACUGGGUCUGAGAACUCGGCCAACAGCCACAUCUUUCCAGCCAUUUCUAACAAAGGGAGUGUGCUGACUGCUUGGCGCCCUCUUCUAUGGCAAGGGACACCUGGUGUUGAGAAAUGCAAGCACAUGGCUCAGCCUACAGAGGGCCCUUGAUGGAGUUAUAAUUAAUGUGCCAUCUGCCACCUUCAAGAUUUAGUGGCACAGAAAAUGCUCACCUUUAUGACGAGUUCUGAAAGAAGAAAGAGAAGGUCAAAGUUCCUGGCACGUUUGAGGGUCACAGAACGUUGUCCCUGGGUUGCAGAUAAAACCCAGGGCCCCGGCAAUGCUGGUACAGUGCCCUAUUGCUGAGUCACCCACCCUGCCCUUAGAAUCUGGAGACCCUGCUAAAAACAAACCAGGAAGAUUGUCUUCAGAAAAAUGCAUGGCCACAGCUCUACAGAAAUGUCGAUGUCCAUAUUUUAAUCUCCGGAGUCCUGAAAUUUCACUAUCGGAAGGUGUCACUCACUUUAGAAUCCGGGAGGGGAUGUCUGGUUCCUUCACCUGAGGAUCUCAAAACCUCAAACCGUUGGAUGUAUUUUCUCUUCAGAAUCUUGAGGUUCUGGGAACAGGAAAGGAAGAAUGCAGUCCCACUAUUUACACAGAGAUGUCACUUGUCGCUCGGUACCUUCAGCCUGGUCCCCAAUCUACCCUGAGCUUAUUGAGUUUUCUGAGAAGAACAUCUUUGUUUCAGUACCCUGGAGAACAAGACUCCCUGCCUCAGGUCCAGGAAGCAGUCGGGCACAGACACUUUCCACGCCCUCUCAGCUGAAGCCUGCUCCCACUUGCUGUGUUUCCUCUGCCUCCUCUCUUCAGACAUCUUCGUGGUUCUGUGGGAACUGAGUUAGGUCUCUGUGUCUACCCUGCAGCCUAUCCUAAUUUUUUCCUUGUCUUAGUCAGGGUUUCUAUUCCUGCACAAACAUCAUGACCAAGAAGCACUUGGGGAGGAAAGGGUUUAUCUGGCUUACACUUCCAUACUGCUGUUCAUCACCAAAGGAAGUCAGGACUGGAACUCAAGCAGGUCAGAAAGCAGGAGCUGAUGCAGAGGUCAUGGAGGGAUGUUCUUUACUGGCUUGCUUUCCCCGGCUUGCUCAGCCUGCUCUCUUAUAGAACCCAAGACUACCAGCCCAGAGAUGGUCCCACCCACAAGGGGCCCUUCCCCCUUGAUCCCCUUGAUCACUAAUUGAGAAAAUGCCCCACAGCUGGAUCUCAUGGAGGCACUUCCCCAACUGAAGCUCCUUUCUCUGUGAUAACUGCAGCUUGAGUCAGGUUGACACACAAAACCAGCCAGUACACUCCUCAUUAAUUAUGUUGUUUUUUUAGGCUUUCAAGUUUCCCUCACUGUCGUUUCCAUAGAGUCUUUGGGAAAGUGGGAAAUUUGUGAUUGAUGCAUUUCACUAGUGUGGUGGUUUGUAUAUGCUCUGCCCGGGGAAUGGCACUAUUAGAAGGUGUGGCCCUGUUGGAGUAGGUGUGUCACUGUGGGUGUGGGCUAUAAGACCCUCAUCCUAGCUGCCUAGAAGUCAGUCUUCUCCCAGCAGCCUUCAGAUGAAGAUGUAGCUCUUCCUGCACCAUGCCUGCCUGGAUGCUGCCAUGUUCCCACCUUGAUAAUGGACUGAGCCUCUGAACCUGUAAGCCAGCCCCAAUUAAAUGUUGUUCUUUAUAAGA
This 1825-nucleotide long non-coding RNA is filed under the name Mus musculus (house mouse). RNAcentral describes it as "predicted gene, 36169". The record is from RNAcentral. Lineage: Eukaryota; Metazoa; Chordata; Mammalia; Rodentia; Muridae.